RNAcentral lists this ribosomal RNA (193 nucleotides) under uncultured bacterium. RNAcentral's name for it is "partial 16S ribosomal RNA". It matches the Rfam family "Bacterial small subunit ribosomal RNA", at positions 521 to 713 of the family's 1533-position model. The record is from RNAcentral.
UAAUACGGAGGGUGCGAGCGUUGUCCGGAAUCACUGGGCGUAAAGGGCGCGUAGGCGGCCGAGCAAGGUUGCGGUGAAAGCCCGGGGCUCAACCCCGGGUCGGCCGUGGCAACUACUCGGCUCGAGCACUGUAGGGGCGGGUGGAAUUCCGGGUGUAGCGGUGGAAUGCGUAGAGAUCCGGAAGAACACCGGU